This 463-nucleotide ribosomal RNA is filed under the name uncultured bacterium. RNAcentral describes it as "partial 16S ribosomal RNA". It matches the Rfam family "Bacterial small subunit ribosomal RNA", at positions 28 to 507 of the family's 1533-position model. The record is from RNAcentral.
GAUGAACGCUGACAGAAUGCUUAACACAUGCAAGUCGAUGGGGAAGUGGUGCUUGCACCAUGGCAACCAUGGCGGACGGGUGAGUAACGCGUAAGGGACUUACCUGCAGGACUGGGAUAACAGGGGGAAACUCCUGACAAGACCGGAUAAUGUCAUGGAGCUGCAUGGCUUUAUGAUGAAAGGAGACGCCUGCGGAGAGCCUUGCGUCCUAUUAGCUAGUUGGUGAGGUAAUGGCUCACCAAGGCGAAGAUAGGUAGCCGGCCUGAGAGGGUGGACGGCCACAAGGGGACUGAGAUACGGCCAUUACUCCUACGGGAGGCAGCAGUGGGGAAUAUUGGACAAUGGGGGCAACCCUGAUCCAGCAAUUCUGUGUGCACGAAGAAGGUUUUCGGAGUGUAAAGUGCUUUCAGCAGGGAAGAAGUAAGUGACGGUACCUGCAGAAGAAGCGACGGCUAAAUACGUG